AAAGUAGACGAGGUGAUCGCCGGUUAUAAUGAAUCUUCGGAUUUAUUAUUGGACGGGAGGAAAGUCCGAGCUCCAUAGGGCGCAGUGCUCCGUAACGCGGAGUCCCGGCGACGGGAAGGAAAGUGCAACAGAAAAUAUACCGUCUCAUCUUUUUUUCGAUGGGAUAAGGGUGAAAUGGCGGGGCCGAAAGGCUUAAUGUAAGAGCCCACCGCUCCGGCGGCGACGUUGGAGGCAUGGCAAACCCCACUGGGAGAAAGGCCAAAUAGGGAGGGAUGAAGCUGCCCGCUUCGCUAUACCUUCGGGUAGGCCGUUAGAUCUCGCUGGCAACAACGAGGCUAGAUGAAUGAUCACCCACGACAAGACUCGGCUUAUUGUCUACUUUUACC
Molecule: RNase P RNA, 386 nt
Filed under: Candidatus Kuenenia stuttgartensis
Lineage: Bacteria; Pseudomonadati; Planctomycetota; Candidatus Brocadiia; Candidatus Brocadiales; Candidatus Brocadiaceae
Also listed under: 3 other names
Description: Candidatus Kuenenia stuttgartiensis Bacterial RNase P class A
Rfam family: Bacterial RNase P class A
About the family: Ribonuclease P (RNase P) is a ubiquitous endoribonuclease, found in archaea, bacteria and eukarya as well as chloroplasts and mitochondria.
Source: Rfam by way of RNAcentral